GUGCUCACUGUAACAGCACACAUACUAAAUCAGAACAAUACAGAGAUGGUUAGUGUGGCCCCUGUACAAGGAUGACACUCAAAUUUGUGGAGCACCCCACAUAUAU
Small nuclear RNA from Peromyscus maniculatus bairdii (prairie deer mouse), 106 nucleotides. Lineage: Eukaryota; Metazoa; Chordata; Mammalia; Rodentia; Cricetidae. The record is from Ensembl.